UUACGGCCAUAGCACGUUGAAACACGGGUUCUCGUACGAUCACCGAAGUCAAGCCUGGCCAGCACCUAGAUGGGUAACCGUUUAGGAAUACCAGGUGCUGUAAG
Non-coding RNA from Acanthosepion pharaonis, 104 nucleotides. Lineage: Eukaryota; Metazoa; Mollusca; Cephalopoda; Sepiida; Sepiidae. The record is from the annotation of a GenBank genome assembly.